AGUGAACGCUGGCGGUAGGCCUAACACAUGCAAGUCGAACGGCAGCACAGUAAGAGCUUGCUCUUACGGGUGGCGAGUGGCGGACGGGUGAGGAAUACAUCGGAAUCUACUUUUUCGUGGGGGAUAACGUAGGGAAACUUACGCUAAUACCGCAUACGACCUACGGGUGAAAGCAGGGGAUCUUCGGACCUUGCGCGAUUGGAUGAGCCGAUGUCGGAUUAGCUAGUUGGCGGGGUAAAGGCCCACCAAGGCGACGAUCCGUAGCUGGUCUGAGAGGAUGAUCAGCCACACUGGAACUGAGACACGGGCCAGACUCCUACGGGAGGCAGCAGUGGGGAAUAUUGGACAAUGGGCGCAAGCCUGAUCCAGCCAUACCGCGUGGGUGAAGAAGGCCUUCGGGUUGUAAAGCCCUUUUGUUGGGAAAGAAAAGCAGCAGGUUAAUACCCCGCUGUUCUGACGGUACCCAAAGAAUAAGCACCGGCUAACUUCGU
This 491-nucleotide ribosomal RNA is filed under the name uncultured bacterium. RNAcentral's name for it is "partial 16S ribosomal RNA". It matches the Rfam family "Bacterial small subunit ribosomal RNA", at positions 29 to 506 of the family's 1533-position model. The record is from RNAcentral.